GACGUAGGGCGCGAGCGUUGUCCGGAUUUAUUGGGCGUAAAGAGCGUGUAGGCGGUUAGGUAGGUCCGUUGUGAAAACUCGAGGCUCAACCUCGAGACGCCGAUGGAAACCAUCUGACUAGAGUCCGGAAGAGGAGAGUGGAAUUCCUGGUGUAGCGGUGAAAUGCGCAGAUAUCAGGAAGAACACCCGUGGCUAAGGCGGCUCUCUAGUACGUGACUGACGCUGAGACGCGAAAGCGUGGGGAGCGAACAGG
Molecule: ribosomal RNA, 253 nt
Filed under: uncultured bacterium
Lineage: Bacteria
Description: partial 16S ribosomal RNA
Rfam family: Bacterial small subunit ribosomal RNA
Source: RNAcentral